RNAcentral lists this ribosomal RNA (498 nucleotides) under uncultured bacterium. RNAcentral's name for it is "bacterial SSU rRNA". It matches the Rfam family "Bacterial small subunit ribosomal RNA", at positions 32 to 505 of the family's 1533-position model. The record is from RNAcentral.
AAUCAACGCUGGCGGCGUGCCUAACACAUGCAAGUCGAACGAGAAGGUGACUUCGGUCACUGGAUAGUGGCGUCCGGGUGAGUAACACGUAGGUAAUCUACCUUCGGGUGGGGAAUAACGUCUCGAAAGAGACGCUAAUACCGCAUAAUGCAGCGGCACCUAAUGGUGAUUAGUUGUUAAAGCGGGGGAGUCUUCGGACCUCGCGCCUGAAGAGGAGCCUGCGGCAGAUUAGCUAGUUGGUGAGGUAAUGGCUCACCAAGGCUUCGAUCUGUAGCUGGUCUGAGAGGACGGCCAGCCACACUGGCACUGACACACGGGCCAGACUCCUACGGGAGGCAGCAGUGGGGAAUUUUGGGCAAUGGGCGAAANCCUGACCCAGCAACGCCGCGUGAAGGAGGAAAUCCUUCGGGAUGUAAACUUCAUAAGUAAGGGAAGAAAGCUGCGGAUCGAAUAAGUCCGCAGUCCGACGGUACCUUACGUAAGCCACGGCUAACUACG